GAGAGAGAGGAAGAGAUACAUACACACACACACACACACACACACACAUAUACAUUCAAUCCGCUGGGACACUCCCCAAAUGGCUGCAAGGACCAGGCUGGGCCAGGCAGAGGCCAGGAGCCAGGAACUCCAUCCAGGUCUCUCUCGUGGGUGCAGGGGCCCAAGCACUCGGGCCAUCCUCCGCUGCUCUCCCAGGAGUAUUAGCAGGGAGACGAAGUAGAGCAGCCAGGGCUUGAACCGGUGCCCAUAUGGGAUGCUGGCACUGAAGGCGGCAGUUUAACCUGCUGUGGCCCACAAUUUCCUUUACAGUUGUGUCAUUACGAUUUCAGAAAGGAGAAGAGAUAAAAGUCUAUUUUCAACCCAUUUUCCAUAGCCCUCAAGUCUUUGAGGAAUCAAAGGAGCUGUGCAGGGAAGCAGAGGGGAGCCUGUCUUCUACAAUCCCUGAGCCAAAACGACUGAGGCAGAAAUUAAAUCCGCAAAUCUUAAUAACUUUUUGAGCACUUAGAAACCUCAUGUAUGUCUCUGCGCGAAGUGUCUUCAUUCUCAAACAAGUCAUCAGUCCGGUGCUCAGGGUGAGUCCCUGGCCUGUGGUCCCUGAGAAGACCGGGCAGGGCUGGGCGGCCUCUGUGAGGGGCGCACUCUCAACACGGCGGCCCGGUGCGCGCCGCCGCAGGGUCGGGCCCGGGGGCUCCCGGCGGGGCCCAGCUCCUGGUCGGGACUGGCGGCGUGGUGCGGCAGGCCGCUGGUUAUUUUUCACUUUUGCCCUUGUCUUCCUUUGCUCUCUGCCGGGUGCGAGGCCGAGAGUCGCAGCUCCACAGCGCUCUGCCCGCUGCACCAGCGCUCUCUCCUGUUUUCCGCUGCCGCCAUGAGGCCAAAGCCAAAACGAGGAGAAAGGCGCGCGUGAGCCAGUCAUCUGGAAAUGGCAUCCCGGGAGAGCCAGUGGCUGCCUUGAGGUUGAGAAAUUAAGGUGAUGUGGGGCCGGCGCUGUAGCUCAGCAGGUUAACACCCUGGCCUGAAGCGCUGGCAUCCCAUAUGGGCGCCAGUUCGAGACCUGGCUGCUCCACUUCCCAUCCAGCUCUCUGCUGUGGCCUGGGAAAGCAGUGGAGGAUGGCCCAGGUUCUUGGGCCCCUGCACCUGUGUGGAAGAUCUGGAAGAAGCUCCUGGCUCCUGGCUUCGGAUUGGCUCAGCUCCGGCCAUUGCGGCCAUCUGGAGAGUGAAUCAGCGGAUGGAAGACUUCAUUCUCUGCCUCUCCUCUCUCUGUGUAACUCUGACUUUGAAAUAAAAUAAAUCUUUAAAAAUAAAAAGACUAUAACAGCAGUUUAAAAAAAAAGAAA
Molecule: non-coding RNA, 1334 nt
Organism: Oryctolagus cuniculus (rabbit)
Lineage: Eukaryota; Metazoa; Chordata; Mammalia; Lagomorpha; Leporidae
Source: RefSeq, a predicted model, not a curated record